UAGGGAAUCUUCGGCAAUGGACGAAAGUCUGACCGAGCAACGCCGCGUGAGUGAAGAAGGUUUUCGGAUCGUAAAACUCUGUUGUUAGAGAAGAACAAGGACGUUAGUAACUGAACGUCCCCUGACGGUAUCUAACCAGAAAGCCACGGCUAACUACGUGCCAGCAGCCGCGGUAAUACGUAGGUGGCAAGCGUUGUCCGGAUUUAUUGGGCGUAAAGCGAGCGCAGGCGGUUUCUUAAGUCUGAUGUGAAAGCCCCCGGCUCAACCGGGGAGGGUCAUUGGAAACUGGGAGACUUGAGUGCAGAAGAGGAGAGUGGAAUUCCAUGUGUAGCGGUGAAAUGCGUAGAUAUAUGGAGGAACACCAGUGGCGAAGGCGGCUCUCUGGUCUGUAACUGACGCUGAGGCUCGAAAGCGUGGGCAGCAAACAGG
This 429-nucleotide ribosomal RNA is filed under the name Gemmatimonadota bacterium. RNAcentral's name for it is "Gemmatimonadetes bacterium partial 16S ribosomal RNA". It matches the Rfam family "Bacterial small subunit ribosomal RNA", at positions 355 to 776 of the family's 1533-position model. The record is from RNAcentral. Lineage: Bacteria; Pseudomonadati; Gemmatimonadota.